Molecule: ribosomal RNA, 401 nt
Filed under: uncultured bacterium
Lineage: Bacteria
Description: bacterial SSU rRNA
Rfam family: Bacterial small subunit ribosomal RNA
Source: RNAcentral
GGGGAAUAUUGGACAAUGGGCGAAAGCCUGAUCCAGCCAUGCCGCGUGAGUGAUGAAGGCCCUAGGGUUGUAAAGCUCUUUUGUGCGGGAAGAUAAUGACGGUACCGCAAGAAUAAGCCCCGGCUAACUUCGUGCCAGCAGCCGCGGUAAUACGAAGGGGGCUAGCGUUGCUCGGAAUCACUGGGCGUAAAGGGUGCGUAGGCGGGUUUCUAAGUCAGAGGUGAAAGCCUGGAGCUCAACUCCAGAACUGCCUUUGAUACUGGAAGUCUUGAGUUCGGGAGAGGUGAGUGGAACUGCGAGUGUAGAGGUGAAAUUCGUAGAUAUUCGCAAGAACACCUGUGACGAAGGCGGCUCACUGGCCCGAUACUGACGCUGAGGCACGAAAGCGUGGGGAGCAAACA